Molecule: ribosomal RNA, 462 nt
Filed under: uncultured bacterium
Lineage: Bacteria
Description: bacterial SSU rRNA
Rfam family: Bacterial small subunit ribosomal RNA
Source: RNAcentral
CCUACGGGGGGCUGCAGUAAGGAAUAUUCCGCAAUGGGCGAAAGCCUGACGGAGCGACGCCGCGUGAGGGAUGAAGUCCCUUCGGGAUGUAAACUUCAAUAGUACGCCAGGAACCAAUCCUGGCUAAUAAUCAGGAAAGUUGACCAGCGUACGAAAGAGGCGGCUAACUCCGUGCCAGCAGCCGCGGUAAUACGGAGGCCUCGAGCGUUGUUCGGAAUCACUGGGCUUAAAGCGCGUGUAGGCGGAGCGGUAAGUACUUUGUGAAAUCCCCGGCUUCAAUCCGGGAACUGCUAGGUAUACUGUCGCUCUUGAGGCAGGUAGGGGUCACUGGAACCUUAGGUGGAGCGGUGAAAUGCGUAGAUAUCUAAGGGAACGCCUGUGGCGAAAGCGGGUGACUGGGCCUGUCCUGACGCUGAGACGCGAAAGCGUGGGGAGCAAACGGGAUUAGAUACCCGAGUAGUC